CCUACGGGUGGCAGCAGUGAGGAAUAUUGGUCAAUGGGCGUAAGCCUGAACCAGCCAAGUCGCGUGAGGGAUGAAGGGUCUAUGGAUCGUAAACCUCUUUUAUAAGGGAAUAAAGUGUGGGACGGGUCCGAUUUUGUAUGUACCUUAUGAAUAAGGAUCGGCUAACUCCGGGCCAGCAGCCGCGGUAAUACGGAGGAUCCGAGCGUUAUCCGGAUUUAGUGGGUUUAACGGGUGCGUAGGCGGCCUUUUAAGUCAGCGGUGAAAGGCUGUGGCUCAACCAUAGAAUUGCCGUUGAAACUUGGGUCCUUGAGUAUGUUUGAGGCAGUCGGUAUGCGUGGUGUAGCGGU
RNAcentral lists this ribosomal RNA (347 nucleotides) under uncultured bacterium. RNAcentral describes it as "partial 16S ribosomal RNA". It matches the Rfam family "Bacterial small subunit ribosomal RNA", at positions 338 to 682 of the family's 1533-position model. The record is from RNAcentral.